This 1719-nucleotide ribosomal RNA is filed under the name Acinetobacter baumannii. RNAcentral describes it as "partial 23S ribosomal RNA". It matches the Rfam family "Bacterial large subunit ribosomal RNA", at positions 1 to 1625 of the family's 2925-position model. The record is from RNAcentral. Lineage: Bacteria; Pseudomonadati; Pseudomonadota; Gammaproteobacteria; Moraxellales; Moraxellaceae.
AGUCAAGUAAUUAAGUGCAUGUGGUGGAUGCCUUGGCAGUCAGAGGCGAUGAAAGACGUGAUAGCCUGCGAAAAGCUCCGGGGAGGCGGCAAAUAUCCUUUGAUCCGGAGAUGUCUGAAUGGGGGAACCCACCUACUUUAAGGUAGGUAUUGCAACAUGAAUACAUAGUGUUGCAAGGCGAACGAGGGGAAGUGAAACAUCUCAGUACCCUUAGGAAAAGAAAUCAAUUGAGAUUCCCUCAGUAGCGGCGAGCGAACGGGGAUCAGCCCAUUAAGUUAUGUGUGUUUUAGUGGAACGCUCUGGGAAGUGCGAACGUAGAGGGUGAUAUUCCCGUACACGAAAGGGCACACAUAAUGAUGACGAGUAGGGCGAGGCACGUGAAACCUUGUCUGAAUAUGGGGGGACCAUCCUCCAAGGCUAAAUACUCCUGACUGACCGAUAGUGAACCAGUACCGUGAGGGAAAGGCGAAAAGAACCCCUGUGAGGGGAGUGAAAUAGAUCCUGAAACCGCAUGCAUACAAGCAGUGGGAGCACCUUCGUGGUGUGACUGCGUACCUUUUGUAUAAUGGGUCAGCGACUUAUAUUCAGUAGCAAGGUUAACCGUAUAGGGGAGCCGUAGAGAAAUCGAGUCUUAAUAGGGCGUUUAGUUGCUGGGUAUAGACCCGAAACCAGGCGAUCUAUCCAUGAGCAGGUUGAAGGUUGGGUAACACUAACUGGAGGACCGAACCCACUGUCGUUGAAAAGCCAGGGGAUGACUUGUGGAUAGGGGUGAAAGGCUAAUCAAGCCUGGUGAUAGCUGGUUCUCCCCGAAAGCUAUUUAGGUAGCGCCUCGGACGAAUACCAUAGGGGGUAGAGCACUGUUUCGGCUAGGGGGUCAUCCCGACUUACCAAACCGAUGCAAACUCCGAAUACCUAUGAGUACUAUCCGGGAGACAGACUGCGGGUGCUAACGUCCGUAGUCAAGAGGAAAACAAUCCAGACCGCCAGCUAAGGCCCCAAAAUCAUAGUUAAGUGGGAAACGAUGUGGGAAGGCAUAGACAGCUAGGAGGUUGGCUUAGAAGCAGCCACCCUUUAAAGAAAGCGUAAUAGCUCACUAGUCGAGUCGGCCUGCGCGGAAGAUGUAACGGGGCUAAAACUAUGUGCCGAAGCUGCGGAUUUGACAUUAGUCAAGUGGUAGGGGAGCGUUCUGUAAGCCGAUGAAGGUGUAUUGAGAAGUAUGCUGGAGGUAUCAGAAGUGCGAAUGCUGACGUGAGUAACGACAAAACGGGUGAAAAACCCGUUCGCCGAAAGACCAAGGGUUCCAGUCCAACGUUGAUGACUUGUGGAUAGGGGUGAAAGGCUAAUCAAGCCUGGUGAUAGCUGGUUCUCCCCGAAAGCUAUUUAGGUAGCGCCUCGGACGAAUACCAUAGGGGGUAGAGCACUGUUUCGGCUAGGGGGUCAUCCCGACUUACCAAACCGAUGCAAACUCCGAAUACCUAUGAGUACUAUCCGGGAGACAGACUGCGGGUGCUAACGUCCGUAGUCAAGAGGAAAACAAUCCAGACCGCCAGCUAAGGCCCCAAAAUCAUAGUUAAGUGGGAAACGAUGUGGGAAGGCAUAGACAGCUAGGAGGUUGGCUUAGAAGCAGCCACCCUUUAAAGAAAGCGUAAUAGCUCACUAGUCGAGUCGGCCUGCGCGGAAGAUGUAACGGGGCUAAAACUAUGUGCCGAAGCUGCGGAU